This 24-nucleotide non-coding RNA is filed under the name Rattus norvegicus (Norway rat). Lineage: Eukaryota; Metazoa; Chordata; Mammalia; Rodentia; Muridae. The record is from RNAcentral.
AUGUAGGAAAGGAUGGCCUUGUUU